UCCAGACUCCUACGGGAGGCAGCAGUGGGGGAUAUUGCACAAUGGGGGGAACCCUGAUGCAGCGACGCCGCGUGGGUGAAGAAGCGCCUCGGCGCGUAAAGCCCUGUCAGCAGGGAAGAAAAUGACGGUACCUGAAGAAGAAGCCCCGGCUAACUACGUGCCAGCAGCCGCGGUAAUACGUAGGGGGCAAGCGUUAUCCGGAUUUACUGGGUGUAAAGGGAGCGUAGACGGCGGCGCAAGUCCGGAGUGAAAGCCCACGGCCCAACCGUGGGACUGCUCUUGGAACUGCGCGGCUGGAGUGCAGGAGGGGCAGGCGGAAUUCCUGGUGUAGCGGUGAAAUGCGUAGAUAUCAGGAGGAACACCGGUGGCGAAGGCGGCCUGCUGGACUGCGACUGACGUUGAGGCCCGAAAGCGUGGGGAGCAAACAGGAUUAGAUACCCGGGUA
Molecule: ribosomal RNA, 445 nt
Filed under: uncultured bacterium
Lineage: Bacteria
Description: partial 16S ribosomal RNA
Rfam family: Bacterial small subunit ribosomal RNA
Source: RNAcentral